Molecule: transfer RNA, 55 nt
Filed under: Rhipicephalus appendiculatus
Lineage: Eukaryota; Metazoa; Arthropoda; Arachnida; Ixodida; Ixodidae
Description: tRNA-Tyr
Source: RNAcentral
GGCUGAGUUUAGGCGAUAAAUUGUAAAUUUAUUUAUGGAAAAAAAUUUUCUUUUA